Molecule: long non-coding RNA, 1449 nt
Filed under: Monodelphis domestica (gray short-tailed opossum)
Lineage: Eukaryota; Metazoa; Chordata; Mammalia; Didelphimorphia; Didelphidae
Description: lncRNA (ENSMODG00000038229.1)
Source: RNAcentral
AUUUUCAUAGCCUUUGUAAUGGUAAGCUCUGUUUUUCUGGGAGAUUGGGCAUCCUCUUAAAAUUCAGUCCAUCCUUGACGAUAUCCUUUGCCCAAUUUCUGUAUUUCUGCAAAUUUCAGUUCUGCCAAGAUGGUAUGAUGGCUUAUAGGCUGGGAGCUCUGAGAGUCACCUCCAACUAAUGAUUCAAUUAUCCUCUGAGAAAGCAAAUAGCUCAAAUUUUUCCCUCAGGCAUGGGUAUAAGUUUUUGGUCUCAAUCUAGACUUGAUCAAGUCAGAAACACAAUAUACAGUUUCAAAGACUAUAACCAAUAAUUUAAAUUGAAUCUAAAAGAAAAUAGACAACCACUAUGAAACAAAAUUAGUGCACUGCCUCUCCUUCUGCAGUUGGAUCUAUUUAUAUUCAAGGCAUUAACAAAGAAUAUAUACUCCUAAGAUAGCUCUAAACUAGAAAGUACUUUCUUCCCCUCUUUCAAAUAUUUAGGCAUAUGGAUGUGUUUACAUAUCCACUUAAUAUUUCUACAAACUAUUGUGAUUCAGCUAACCCAGUGAUGAGAAAACUUUUAGAGACUGAAUGCCCAAACUUUAACCCUCACACUACAUGUGAGCCCCUCUCUCAACCAAGACAGGGUAGGGAGGAGGCAUUCCCAUUGGGCUGUAGAACAGAGGGUUUGGUGAUGAGAAAAAUGUCCUCAGGCACACAUGGAAAGUGGGAAGGGAAAAGAACCCUCUGGCAUACAUGAUGUAGAUUCACUAACAUGGCUAAGGAAUGCUGCAUCUCUUUGUACUCUAGGACAGUGAUGGCAAACCUUUUAGAUGGGUGGGUGAUAUGAAAAAUGUCCUCAGACAUGCACAAAGAGGGAGAGAGAAGCAAUCUAGCCCUGCCUCUCUGGCUUUUGUGGAUGAAUAAAUUGGAGAAAACCUGCAACAGAGCCAAAGUAGUAAAGUUUGCAAAAGCUGUCAUUCAAGAAUCAUUCUGGAAUGGAAUGUGACUGGAGGGAGACUGUUGAAGGGAAACAUCCAAACUGUUGGAGUUGUCACUUUCUCCUGAGACAGGAAGGAGUAAGGACUGAGAAUAUCUUCUUCUUACUGAAUUUAUAUCUUCUCUAUAAAGAUUCUUCUAGGAACUAUGAAAUUGGAAUUGAAAUUUUCACUUUUAACAGAAAAAUAGUUGCAUCUAUUUUCCAGAGUUUUUGCAGUAAUCCUCAGUCUAUAACCCAAUCAUAUAUAGAGGGAAAGAUGAUCAAGAUGAUCCAUGAGCAUCAGUGUCCUUCUGCUUACCCAUAUCAAAAUGAUGAUACAUCUCAUGUCUGGGAACAUCCGAAGCCUGAAGGACAGGCAACAUCAGAGUAACUGCUCCUAUUUGAUAUGAAUAUCAACAUUAACAUGUAGCCUCUACUCUGGAUUUCUGUUGCUAAAUAAAACCUUUAAAUUCAAUUGUCUGUGGACUCUG